This 253-nucleotide ribosomal RNA is filed under the name uncultured bacterium. Its description in RNAcentral is "partial 16S ribosomal RNA". It matches the Rfam family "Bacterial small subunit ribosomal RNA", at positions 524 to 776 of the family's 1533-position model. The record is from RNAcentral.
UACGUAGGGUGCAAGCGUUGUCCGGAAUUAUUGGGCGUAAAGAGCUCGUAGGCGGCUUGUCGCGUCGGCUGUGAAAACCUGGGGCUCAACCCAGAGCCUGCAUCCAAAACUGGCGGGCUAGAGUUCUGGAGGGGGUAGCGGAAUUCCUGGUGUAGCGGUGAAAUGCGUAGAUAUCAGGAGGAACACCGGUGGCGAAGGCGGCUACCUGGACAGAAACUGACGCUGAGGCGCGAAAGCUAGGGGAGCAAACAGG